This 799-nucleotide ribosomal RNA is filed under the name uncultured bacterium. Its description in RNAcentral is "bacterial SSU rRNA". It matches the Rfam family "Bacterial small subunit ribosomal RNA", at positions 1 to 849 of the family's 1533-position model. The record is from RNAcentral.
UUAGAGUUUGAUCCUGGCUCAGAACGAACGCUGGCGGCAGGCUUAACACAUGCAAGUCGAACGCCCCUUUCGGGGGGAGUGGCAGACGGGUGAGUAACACGUGGGAACGUACCUCUUUGUUCGGAAUAACUCAUGGAAACGUGAGCUAAUACCGGAUACGCCCUUUUGGGGAAAGAUUUAUCGCAGAGAGAUCGGCCCGCGUCUGAUUAGCUAGUUGGUGAGGUAAUGGCUCACCAAGGCGACGAUCAGUAGCUGGUCUGAGAGGAUGAUCAGCCACACUGGGACUGAGACACGGCCCAGACUCCUACGGGAGGCAGCAGUGGGGAAUAUUGGACAAUGGGGGCAACCCUGAUCCAGCCAUGCCGCGUGAGUGAUGAAGGCCUUAGGGUUGUAAAGCUCUUUUAUCCGGGAAGAUAAUGACUGUACCGGAAGAAUAAGCCCCGGCUAACUUCGUGCCAGCAGCCGCGGUAAUACGAAGGGGGCUAGCGUUGUUCGGAAUCACUGGGCGUAAAGGGCGCGUAGGCGGACGAUUAAGUCAGGGGUGAAAUCCCGGGGCUCAACCUCGGAAUUGCCCUUGAUACUGGUUGUCUUGAGAUUGGAAGAGGUAAGUGGAAUUGCGAGUGUAGAGGUGAAAUUCGUAGAUAUUCGCAAGAACACCGGUGGCGAAGGCGACUUACUGGUCCAUAUCUGACGCUGAGGCGCGAAAGCGUGGGGAGCAAACAGGAUUAGAUACCCUGGUAGUCCACGCCGUAAACGAUGGAUGCCCAGCUGUUUGGGGGAGCAUGCUCUUCAGUGGCGC